UACGUAGGCAGCGAGCGUUGUUCGGAGUUACUGGGCGUAAAGGGUGUGUAGGCGGUUGUUUAAGGUUGGGGUGAAAUCUCCCGGCUCAACUGGGAGGGUGCGCCGAAUACUGAAUGACUAGAGUGCGGGAGAGGAAAGUGGAAUUCCUGGUGUAGCGGUGAAAUGCGUAGAUAUCAGGAGGAACACCGGUGGUGUAGACGGCUUUCUGGACCGUAACUGACGCUGAGACACGAAAGCGUGGGGAGCAAACAGG
Molecule: ribosomal RNA, 253 nt
Filed under: uncultured bacterium
Lineage: Bacteria
Description: partial 16S ribosomal RNA
Rfam family: Bacterial small subunit ribosomal RNA
Source: RNAcentral